RNAcentral lists this ribosomal RNA (253 nucleotides) under uncultured bacterium. RNAcentral's name for it is "partial 16S ribosomal RNA". It matches the Rfam family "Bacterial small subunit ribosomal RNA", at positions 524 to 776 of the family's 1533-position model. The record is from RNAcentral.
UACGAAGGGUGCAAGCGUUACUCGGAAUUACUGGGCGUAAAGCGUGCGUAGGUGGUUCGUUAAGUCUGAUGUGAAAGCCCUGGGCUCAACCUGGGAAUGGCAUUGGAAACUGGCGACCUAGAGUGCGGUAGAGGGUAGUGGAAUUCCCGGUGUAGCAGUGAAAUGCGCAGAUAUCGGGAGGAACACCAAUGGCGAAGGCAGCUCGCUGGGACGUUACUGACGCUGAGACGCGAAAGCGUGGGGAGCAAACAGG